GACGAACGCUGGCGGCGUGCUUAACACAUGCAAGUCGAACGGAAAGGCCCUGCUUUUGUGGGGUGCUCGAGUGGCGAACGGGUGAGUAACACGUGAGUAACCUGCCCUUGACUUUGGGAUAACUUCAGGAAACUGGGGCUAAUACCGGAUAGGAGCUCCUGCUGCAUGGUGGGGGUUGGAAAGUUUCGGCGGUUGGGGAUGGACUCGCGGCUUAUCAGCUUGUUGGUGGGGUAGUGGCUUACCAAGGCUUUGACGGGUAGCCGGCCUGAGAGGGUGACCAGCCACAUUGGGACUGAGAUACGGCCCAGACUCCUACGGGAGGCAGCAGUGGGAAUAUUGCACAAUGGGCGGAAGCCUGAUGCAGCAACGCCGCGUGCGGGAUGACGGCCUUCGGGUUGUAAACCGCUUUCGCCUGUGACGAAGCGUGAGUGACGGUAAUGGGUAAAGAAGCACCGGCUAACUACGUG
RNAcentral lists this ribosomal RNA (467 nucleotides) under uncultured bacterium. RNAcentral's name for it is "partial 16S ribosomal RNA". It matches the Rfam family "Bacterial small subunit ribosomal RNA", at positions 28 to 507 of the family's 1533-position model. The record is from RNAcentral.